CCUACGGGGGGCAGCAGUGGGGAAUAUUGCACAAUGGGGGAAACCCUGAUGCAGCGACGCCGCGUGAGUGAAGAAGUACUUCGUUACGUAAAGCUCUAUCAGCAGGGAAGAAACACUGACCUUACGGUCAGCAGACGGUACCUGAGUACGAAGCGCCGGCUCACUACGUGCCAGCAGCCGCGGUAAUACGUAGGGGGCAAGCGUUAUCUGGAUUUACGGGGUGUAAAGGGAGGGUAGACGGUGCGCCAAGUCUGGAGUGAACUGGCGCAGUUUAACUGCGGAACUGCUUUGGAAACUGUCGAACGAGAGUGCAGGAGGGGUAAGCGGAAGUCCUAGCGUAGCGGUGGAAUGCGUAGAUAUUAGGAGGAACACCGGUGGCGAAGGCGGCUUACUGGACCGUAACUGACGUUGAGGCUCGAAAGCGUGGGGAGCAAACAGGAUUAGAUACCCCGGUAGUC
RNAcentral lists this ribosomal RNA (458 nucleotides) under uncultured bacterium. RNAcentral's name for it is "partial 16S ribosomal RNA". It matches the Rfam family "Bacterial small subunit ribosomal RNA", at positions 338 to 795 of the family's 1533-position model. The record is from RNAcentral.